This 433-nucleotide ribosomal RNA is filed under the name uncultured bacterium. Its description in RNAcentral is "partial 16S ribosomal RNA". It matches the Rfam family "Bacterial small subunit ribosomal RNA", at positions 29 to 507 of the family's 1533-position model. The record is from RNAcentral.
AGCGAACGCUGGCGGCAGGCUUAACACAUGCAAGUCGAGCGGGCCCUUCGGGGUCAGCGGCAGACGGGUGAGUAACACGUGGGAACGUACCCUUUGGUUCGGAAUAACGCUGGGAAACUAGCGCUAAUACCGGAUACGCCCUUUUGGGGAAAGGCUUGCUGCCGAAGGAUCGGCCCGCGUCUGAUUGGCUAGUUGGUGGGGUAAUGGCCUACCAAGGCGACGAUCAGUAGCUGGUCUGAGAGGAUGAUCAGCCACACUGGGACUGAGACACGGCCCAGACUCCUACGGGAGGCAGCAGUGGGGAAUAUUGGACAAUGGGCGCAAGCCUGAUCCAGCCAUGCCGCGUGAGUGAUGAAGGCCUUAGGGUUGUAAAGCUCUUUUGUCCGGGACGAUAAUGACGGUACCGGAAGAAUAAGCCCCGGCUAACUUCGUG